Centropristis striata (black sea bass) is the source of this 1258-nucleotide long non-coding RNA. RefSeq lists it as uncharacterized. The transcript has 2 exons. Lineage: Eukaryota; Metazoa; Chordata; Actinopteri; Perciformes; Serranidae. The record is from RefSeq and is a predicted model, not a curated record.
AUUAAAAAAAAUGCUUUUGUAAUGUUGAGAAACACUGAAAUUAUUAUUCAUAAAAAACUUUCAACCACUGUUCUGUGAUGUCACGUAUAGUGAUAUACAAAUAUAUCUGAAGGAAAGGUGUAUUUGGGAUAAUCAAUAUUAUUAGUAUUAUUCAUGCAUUUAUUCAUUUUUAAAUCAGAGAAUGGGGGAAAAUAGAUUAUUAGUACAAAAACUAGUAACUAGUAAAAAAAAAAUUGGUAACAAUAAUGUUCAUUCAUUAAUUGACGCUUGGUCAAACUCUCAUCUAAUUAAGUAUUGCUGUCUCAUUAAUGUAUUAAUGUAUUUAUUUAUUUUGUCGGCUAAAACCUGAGGAGAAGAAGAAGAUGACUUUAUUAAUCCCACAAUGGGGAAAUUCAACCUCUGCAUUUAACCCAUCCUUUUUUACACACAAGUGAACACACCAUGCAAGGAGCAGUGGGCAGCACAUUACUGCGCCCGAAGCUAUCACCAUGUUGUUUUUUCACAUCAGAAUAAGUAUUUCACAUGAUGCAGAUCUUUCAGCAUGUGGUCCUCAAUAUAUAGUAUAGAAGUCACUGUAUUUUCUGACUUUUCCAGGUUUCCUGUGUCCAGCAUCUUCAAGACAGACUAAGCUAACUUUUCAUAUUUUUUGCACAUUUAUAUUUAGGUUAGGUUUAUAGUAGAGUAUUUAGUUUGUAUAGUUUAGCUUUUUAUGCUGGUCUAGGGACAGUUAAGUUAGCAAAUUGAUUUAGUUCAGAUCACUUACAGUUGCAUAUUAUUGUUACAAUUGUGUUAUUUUGUGAGUUAUUGUUGUACAGGCUAUUGUAUAUUGCAGGACCAAGUGAGACGAGGAAGACCACUGCUUCCAAGAUGCCGCGCUCAGAAAGUGCGUUGGACAAGUCUCGACCUUGCAGAUCCUGCCCCACUGAGCCCAACCACUUCCGACCAUGGGGUACCUCAAAGACCUCCGUCAACCAGCCGGCUGUGGAUGAUGGAUAACGCACCCACAACUCCUUCUCCAGUCUACAAGACACCCCCACAGUCCAAGAACAGCUGGAUGACCUCUGGACCCACUUGCCCCCGUUCACCAGUUGAAAAGAUAGGCUUUUUAAAAAAUUCUUCAAUUGUUAAUUCUGCACAAAGUGAUACACAAAACAUUGUAUGUCUUCCAUUUCAACAAACACAAACAUGAAAUGUAUAUUUCAAUACAUAACUUAAUGCAAAUCAAUCAUACUAAACAUCAUCUUUUUUUUUAAACCAA